GACGAACGCUGGCGGCGUGCUUAACACAUGCAAGUCGAACGGAAAGGCCCUGCUUUUGUGGGGUGCUCGAGUGGCGAACGGGUGAGUAACACGUGAGUAACCUGCCCUUGACUUUGGGAUAACUUCAGGAAACUGGGGCUAAUACCGGAUAGGAGCUCCUGCUGCAUGGUGGUGGUUGGAAAGUUUCGGCGGUUGGGGAUGGACUCGCGGCUUAUCAGCUUGUUGGUGGGGUAGUGGCUUACCAAGGCUUUGACGGGUAGCCGGCCUGAGAGGGUGACCGGCCACAUUGGGACUGAGAUACGGCCCAGACUCCUACGGGAGGCAGCAGUGGGGAAUAUUGCACAAUGGGCGGAAGCCUGAUGCAGCAACGCCGCGUGCUGGAUGACGGCCUUCGGGUUGUAAACCGCUUUCGCCUGUGACGAAGCGUGAGUGACGGUAAUGGGUAAAGAAGCACCGACUAACUACGUG
This 468-nucleotide ribosomal RNA is filed under the name uncultured bacterium. Its description in RNAcentral is "partial 16S ribosomal RNA". It matches the Rfam family "Bacterial small subunit ribosomal RNA", at positions 28 to 507 of the family's 1533-position model. The record is from RNAcentral.